GAGAUAGCUGGUUCUCCCCGAAAUAGCUUUAGGGCUAGCCUCAGGGAAAAGAUUGCAGGCGGUAGAGCACUGAUCAGGAGAGGGACCUACCCGGUUACCAAACCCAGUCAAACUCCGAAUGGCUGCAAUCAUACCUGGGAGUCAGACUGCGACUAAUAAGGGCCGUAGUCAAAAGGGAAACAGCCCAGACCAUCAGCUAAGGUCCCCAAUGCCGUGCUAAGUGGCAAAGGAUGUGGCAUUUCAUAAACAACCAGGAUGUUGGCUCAGAAGCAGCCACCAUUUAAAGAGUGCGUAAUAGCUCACUGGUCGAGAGACGCUGCGCCGAAAAUGUCCGGGGCUCAAGCACGGAACCGAAGCUAUGGCAUGAUAGCAAUAUCAUGGGUAGGGGAGCGUUCUUAUAAGGAAGAAGCAUGACCGGAAGGACAUGUGGACAAAUAAGAAGUGAGAAUGCCGGUAUGAGUAUCGAAAAGAAAGGUGAGAAUCCUUUCCACCGAAAGCCCGAGGGUUCCUGAGCAACGAUCGUCGACUCAGGGUAAGUCGGGACCUAAGCCGAGGCGAAAAGCGUAGGCGAUGGACAACAGGUUGAAAUUCCUGUACCGGAUCAAGUCGAUUGAGCGAAGGAGCGACGCAGGAGGGCACAUGAUCGCGCGGCUGGAAGAGCGCGUCCAAGUGCGUAUGUUGCAGCAGAGGAAAACCCCUGCGGCUGAAAGCAGAGACAUGAUGGGGAGUUAAAGGAAACUUUGACGAACUCAUGAAUCCCACACUGCCAAGAAAAACUUCUAGCGAGACAAGAUCCGCCCGUACCGUAAACCGACACAGGUAGGCGGGGAGAGAAUCCUAAGGUGCGCGGGAAAACCCUCGUUAAGGAACUCGGCAAAUUGCAUCCGUAACCUAGGGAGAAGGAUGGCCCCCGGUCAGUGAAGAGCAGAAACGCUCAGAGCUAAAAGGGGCGGCAGAAAAGAGGCCCAAGCAACUGUUUACCAAAAACACAGGUGCCUGCGAAAGCGAAAGCUGAAGUAUAGGUGCUGACGCCUGCCCGGUGCCGGAAGGUUAAGGAGAGAAGUUAGCGAAAGCGAAGCAUCGAACUGAAGCCCCGGUGAACGGCGGCCGUAACUAUAACGGUCCUAAGGUAGCGAAAUUCCUUGUCGGGUAAGUUCCGACCCGCAUGAAAGGCGUAAUGAUUUGGGCACUGUCUCAACGAGGGGCCCGGUGAAAUUGAAAUACCUGUGAAGAUGCAGGUUACCCGCGACUGGACAGAAAGACCCCAUGGAGCUUCACUGCAGCUUGAGAUUGAAUCCCGGUGACAGAUGCACAGGAUAGGUGGGAGGCGCCGAAGCAUUGCCCUAGGGCGGUGCGGAGCCGAUGUUGGGAUACCACCCUUCUGUUGCUGAGAUUCUAACGCGAGGAGUAACGACCCUGCGGACCCUCUCAGGCAGGCGGUUUGACUGGGGCGGUCGCCUCCGAAAGAGUAACGGAGGCGCCCAAAGGUUCCCUCAGGCCGGACAGAAACCGGCCGAAGAGUGCAAAGGCAGAAGGGAGCUUGACUGCGAGACCAACAAGUCGAGCAGAGACGAAAGUCGGGCUUAGUGAUCCGGUGGUACUGAGUGGAAAGGCCAUCGCUCAACGGAUAAAAGCUACCCUGGGGAUAACAGGC
Molecule: ribosomal RNA, 1654 nt
Filed under: human gut metagenome
Description: bacterial LSU rRNA
Rfam family: Bacterial large subunit ribosomal RNA
Source: RNAcentral